GAGCAGAGUUACAUAUAACUGAGAAAACUACAAGAGAGACAUAUUAUGAAAUCUCCCCUAAUUUUCCCUAACUUUUAAAUUACUUCCUAUAAUACACAAAACACAUUCCCUACAUCCCCCUUUUCCUUCAUCGUUUACAUUUUACAGCUCCAUACGCUACAACUAACUCCACUCAACCUCAACCAUUUUCCUCCUCCGUUCAGCCACAGAUACUAUCUAAAAUAUACCCAUAAACCCCAAAUACACAACAACCCCACCCAGAAUUAACCCCCAUGUUUUACACUUACAUGGAUAACAUACUUUUUUUGCUUUUUUACUAAUUCGUCCCUAUACUUUUCCCGAUUUUCAGAUCUACCUCCCGUUUUAUAAAAAA
RNAcentral lists this unclassified non-coding RNA (373 nucleotides) under Hevea brasiliensis (rubber tree). Lineage: Eukaryota; Viridiplantae; Streptophyta; Magnoliopsida; Malpighiales; Euphorbiaceae. The record is from RNAcentral.